UGGUAUCAAUAAGACUAAAUGAAAAGAACAUUUAUAAUAGAUGAUUUAUUAACAUACAUACAACAAGGGAAGCUACAUACGAAGCAAUUUGUUUUGAUAAAUAAAUGACCCAUGCCACCCUAUGCUAUGGACCUAUGGUUACAGAACGACGAUAAUACAAUUAACAAAGGUUACAAAUGUGAAAAAAUAAUGAGGCGGCGUUCUUUUUUAGAUUUAGUUUUUUGCAGAGUAUUGUGUGACUUCACACAAAGGAAAAGUCGCAUCCUUACAAACAGACCCCGUACGUAGUCUAAAGGAAAGUUUUUGCAGGGAUGUGAGAAUGGAAUUUUGCUUAAUUCGGUAAGUAUUUGAAAACCAACCCGGGCCCCAGUGGAAUAACGUUCAAAAAGGCCGUUGGAGAACUGGUGUUCCAACUGGGCAAUGUAAUACACAAAAUUAGUUGCAGGCAUUGUUAGAUUACCAAAAUCUGAGCUUUCAUCUAAAUUUUUGUAGUGACAGAAUAAGGUAUCUUCGGAAAUAGUUUGGCAGGCCUGUGCAUAUUGUUCACAACUAGUGCAUGAAUGGCGCUGCAAGCAUUUUUGCAUUAAGUAUCCGGAAAUGUAUCUUAAAAUAUUUUGCUCCGGCAACUCCAAGGAACGGUAAUCUGUGGAAUCUACUUAUUUAAGGGGGCCAGAAUCUAGAGCAGUCAAAACAGUUGCUAAAUCUGGCAUGCAAUUGCCGGUUGUGGGUGGUAAUAAGAAUUUUGUGCAGAACAAUUUUCUGAAUGCCCAAACGAACUGUAUUGGUGUGGGGUUUAUACAAUUGCCACUUUGUUUUCGCACCGUUCCGAAAAAAUUUUCUAGAAAAUCUUGAUUUAAGCGCCUUGUGGGUAAGGGUUGGCUUAGAGAUCCGUGAAGCUGCAUCACUCCUUUAAUUGUUACCUGCCAACAUGCCAUCGAUUUAAUACGACGAGUUACGUCCGCGUUUCUGUCAUCAACGACAGCAGUUGUUUUAAAAAAGUGCAGCAUUUUUUCAAGGUGGUUUUUUUGCAAUUCUGAUCCUACAAAAGCAGAUUUAAAGGACUCUACAUUUGUUACCAAGCCAACGCUGCAGUUGAUAGCAGUCCUAGAGACAUCUCGGUUUCCAUACCAGAUGCCACGGUGUGGCUAAACAACUGGGUGGCAAAUUUAACCUUCAUCUUGUCAAACUGGCCAGGACUUAUGUGAACCGACUGCAGUUUAGGAGCAAAUUUGAAAGGCUUUGAUGAGAUGGCACACAUCAAAAAUGUAAAAAAUGCGAUCUGUACAUAUACCCUUACAAUAAAAAUAGGGUGUUUCGGGCGUCACGUUUAAGCUCGCAGCGACCUGCUGAAAAUUGGUGCCCAAGUCUGAAAUGACCGCUUUCACUUGGAGGCCGAUAGCGUACAACUUGUUGAUAACAGCAAACAGUAAUGUUUGCAAUUCCCUAGCAUUACACUGUGUAUUAACAAAUACAUAAGCUAGUGCCUGCUUCCAAUUAUCAAAAAUACCGCGCGCCAUUAUUGUUAGAACAUUAUUGGCAGGCUUGUAUUCUUUGCCAUCUACUUGGUGAAAGCCCACGAUUUGAUCUUUGCUUACAUCAUAAUACAAAUUUGCUUUUAAGCUCAUCUCGUCCAUACAAAUAACACACUGCCGGGCUUCUGCAUUUAAAUUCAAGACCUUCAGCCGCAACAUUUCAAACACGGUCUCAUCUAUUCCCGGUUCUAUCCGUAUUUUAGAAGUAAAUCGUUGCAACGUUCUGAUGCUUGGUAGCAUAAAAGUGGUUUCCACCUCGUUCUGCCUCUCCAGCAUCUCUACCUCCGCACCUACGGGCUCUGUUGUCUGCGACGCCUGCCGCAGUUUUCGUCUGAGGGCUUGCUUCCGUGGAGAAUUACUCGAUAACGCUGUCCCAGUUUGUGUUGCGACACUUUUUCCGGUCGGUGAUGCAAAUUGCUGCUCAUGCACAGAUGUGGAAGGCCCGGCCUCUUCUUGUGGCGGCGGGGUGGCAGCUACUUCUUCCCUGCUGGUUCCCGGAAGCACACAGGAACUUUGCUCUUGAUGUGACAGAUAUCAUAAUACACCAGUAUUUGGAUCAUUUGUACCUGACUCUUUCUGGUGAGGGAUUGCGUCUCCACGAAGGGCCUUUUUUUGAGGAUGUGUGAACAUGUUGUCUGCAAAAUGAUCUGCACAUAGGCGGAAAUUGCCGUGGUCCUUCAUUUCACGGGUUAACAAGUCUACUCGCCCACUUGCAGUGGCCCAUAUUUUGAACCUGCAUAAAAAUUAUGCGUAUAAAUCGUAAUAUGUGGGGCAUUCCACGCCAAAUCGGACGGUUUGAGAAAUUUUUUGUUUUGAUUUCCUCAAUUUUGUGAUAUGUUUUAGUACCCCUUAAGGUAGCAUUUUUGGUAAAUUUUGAGAUUUUUUUGAUUACCCGUUCAAAAGAUAUCGACUUUCUAAAAAAAUUGCUGUUUUUUUAGAUUUUUGGGCAUAAUUUCUGCAAAAAUGGUUCAAAUUUAACCAUUUUUUUUUAACAUUUGGGUUUUUAAAUGGCCUUUAUAGAAAAACAUUUAAAAAAAACUUUUUCAAGAUUGUUUCAUAAUGAUUUUUUUAUGUUAGAUUUUAAUUCGAGUUUUAAAAUUUUUUUAUAUCCUUCGCUUUUUUCAAAAUUUUUUAUUUUAAACUUCUAUUUAUAUCUCAAUUUUUAAUCCCGGUUCGGUAAUGGGAUCUCAAAAUUAGAUUUUUUUUAAUUAUUAAAAAUAAAAAAAAUAUUUUUUCGUAAAUUAUUUUACGUAUUUUUGAUUUUUGAAAUUGUACACGCAUUUUUUAAGUAUUAUAAAUAAAUUUUAAUACUGUUUCAUUAUUAUUAUUAAGUGUUUAAAGUCAAUAAAUACCAAUUAACUUUAUUGGUAAAUACAAUUACCACUGUCAUUUUCAUUUAAGGGGUACUAACACAUCACAAAAUUGAGGAAAUAAAAAAAAAAUAUUCUCAAACCGUCCGAUUUGGCGUGGAAUGCCCCAUGUACAUUCAAAACGAUUUUAUAUUAAUGAGACCGCACUGUAAUUAAUUGUGUAAAUCUUGUCGGUACAUUUUUUAUGUAUCUAUUUUUAGAGUAACUUACCUUUUUGCUUCUUUUGGGAAACGAAAGAAGCUUUUAUUUCCAUCCGCAGUAGAAUUUGUGCACCCCGCAGCACUACACAGGCGUCUUUUAGGCAUUCUAAUUGUCUUUUUUCAAUUGCACUAUCACUAAUAUGUAUACUACACUAAAGGCUACGUAACUAAAUCUAAGAAUAAUAUUAAUGCACUAUAUACUAUAUACAAAAAAAGUCAAAAAGUUCCAAACUAAAAAAAGCCACAAAAUUCGCAAAUCUACAAAAUCGUACUGUACUCGCACUGAUCUGCUUUGCGAAUGCUUAUUACUUUCUGCGUAGUGCAGAUUCUGCAUUUUUUAAGUGUUAAUGUAAACAUAACUUUGCACUUCAUAAGUGCCCGCACGUGUGUUCUAAUAUUUACGGAAACUUUCUUUUUAUAAUUAUUACUUUUGGGCUUAGUUGUAAAUUUUUUAAAUGUAAUAAUUUACGUUUCAGCUAUUACCAAAUAUAUUUUUACAUACCUUUGAAGAGUUUUUAAUAGCUACUUAGUUAUUUCACUAAGUAAUAUGUACCUACCUUUUUUUUUGUCAGAAUAAUGAGGCUUCUCCUAUAACUUUUUUAAAAUCAUUGCAACAGGUUUUUAUCAAAAACCAAUUGCAGUUAUUCCACAGCAAAAAAAAUUAUAUGCUUUCAGCGUUACCACCAUUUUUUAGAAUCAGCUCAACAUUGCAAUUUAUUAAUUUUUUUCUUGGGUUAAUGAACAACUUUUCAUUUUUAUCUUUUUAUUCAUUAAAUUACAAUAACAUUCAAUUAAAAAAGCAGCAUUGUAGCGAGAUAAUGACUAUUCCAAUAUACAUGCUUAUUUCAAAUCGCGCGCCUCAAAAAGUUCGUUGAGGGCGCCCCCCACUUUUUAGUCGUGUUCACGAAUUCUCUGUCCGCGUCGCUUCUCCUCUGUUCUCUGUUUAAACAUUGUUUGCACGAAUUCAGUCAGUAAGACGCGACUUGUGCUCGAAAGGGGAUGUGUUGAAAGCUCGGCCAAAGCUCAUACCAUGCUUCCAGUGACAGCUCACGUGGUGUGUGAAUGUGAGUGUGGUUUUGAUUUGUGUAUCCCUGGUGGAUAAUUGUACACGGAUUACGCUUUUUUGUGGAGAUUUUCUAUGGCUUAGAUGUGCCCGCGCGGUCCAUUUUGAGGAAUCAGCUCUAAGGACGAUGUAAAAGAAGAGCUGACGGUUUCAGAAGGCCCAAGUCGUACAUCACCUCUUGUGUAGCAGAGACGUGAUUCAAUGUCAACUGGUUCAAGGCUUUCCUGGAGGUUCAGCAUUUGGGACAAAUAAAAUUUGGGAAAAAAAAUUGGCUUGGUUUAUUUCUUCCUCCCUCACUAAUGAUUGCAAAACAGGCUGUAGGAGAGAUAAAUCAUUUCUGAUUAAUCGACGCAUUUGACUUUAGUUUUAAGGCAUGCAUGCCAGCAUGUAAUAAAUAACGUUAGAAGGAAGGUGUCGAUGGACUUGACUUUGAUGAAGGCGGCUGCUUUACCGCCACUCGGCUGGAUAUCGACGUCCUGGGGAUGUUGUAAUUAAAAAUAGUGUCGCAUCACUGCGAUACCCAUCACAAAACUACUUUUGUCUUAAAUUCUCAUUAGUUUCGAGAGUUAUGUAAGGCUGUUUGUUAUCGGGCUCGAUUGGACUAUUGACAGAUCCUGGUGGAUGGGGUUUAGAAGGGAAAGGUAUUUUCAUGUAAACUGAACGCUCACUUCCGGUACUUUUUUCUUGAGUCGUGAGCGUAAACCAUAUUUGUUUUUAAUUGAAACUGUGUGUGGAACGAAUUCAAGGACCUUCGGUUGGUUUUGUUUUUAUAUAUUAUUCUCGAAUUAGUUAAACUGUAAUAUCCUUAUUAUUAAAACAUCGCAAAAUAAGGUUUCACCUCUCAAUUUUUUAAAAAAUUGAAGAGGGUGAGAUAAUUGUUAACCUUUAGCUAUUUUCAAGUCUCAGUGUGAUUUUAACGUUUACUGUUAAAUAACCGUACCUAAUUAUAAUUAUUAAAUUUUUUCUAUGCAUGUGAAUUUUUUCAAAAUUUUUCUACAAUUCCCUAUAAUUAGAAUUAAUUACUUAAUAGAGUCGCUAAAAAACAAGUAUGUUUU
Molecule: long non-coding RNA, 5220 nt
Organism: Tribolium castaneum (red flour beetle)
Lineage: Eukaryota; Metazoa; Arthropoda; Insecta; Coleoptera; Tenebrionidae
Exons: 11
Source: RefSeq, a predicted model, not a curated record